RNAcentral lists this long non-coding RNA (746 nucleotides) under Homo sapiens (human). RNAcentral's name for it is "non-protein coding lnc-AUH-2:12". The record is from RNAcentral. Lineage: Eukaryota; Metazoa; Chordata; Mammalia; Primates; Hominidae.
GUCUUCUGACACAGGCAUCUCACAACACCAGUGCAGCCGGACCGUUGUCUGGUAGGUCUCUGUGCACCCAGGAGGACCUGGGCCUGCGAGAAGUCUGGGGCCCACUGCUGGGUAUGCUCGUUUCUUGAGCAUCCGAGUCACCUUUACAGUCUGCGAUGAUUGACGAGGUCAAACAGGACUCACUUGCAUUGCCGGGUCUCUGUGGCGACAGGGAGGACUUGGAGGAGAGGUGCCCGAUGAGCUCCCAGUCAUGUGGUUCAGGGCGGGCUCUGGAAGACUCACAGAGGAGACUCCUCCGAGAAACCAAGAAGGUUUCUGUCCAAGUCGGGAUCUGCUCUGCUCAGGAUGCUCCUCCAACACACACAGUGAAAAACUGAGCACCUAGAGAGCAACACCAAAAACCCAUGGCCAAUAAUGGAGAGCCAAAUCAGGAGAGCAUUCAGCAAAGCAAUUCUUGCUGUAGAAGGAACAGCACAAAAAGCUGGAAGGAAACUGAGGCAUGCGUGAAAGAUAACUUGUCAGUGUUUGCAGUCUACUGAGAUCCCCGCUGCAAGAAAAGGCAGGAUUUCCACUUGCUUCUUGGCCCGCCUCUGUUGUCCAGAAUCCAGGACAGGUGACAAGAGAAGCAGAUGUGAUCUGCACAAGCUGGCUCAGCUGGGUUGGGAGUUGCUCUUCCUGGACAGGCCGGGAAGGGUGCUGGAGGGGAGGGAGGAGGAGAGAGGUUUUAGGGGAGGGGUGCUGAGCAG